Molecule: long non-coding RNA, 356 nt
Organism: Tympanuchus pallidicinctus (lesser prairie-chicken)
Lineage: Eukaryota; Metazoa; Chordata; Aves; Galliformes; Phasianidae
Exons: 2
Source: RefSeq, a predicted model, not a curated record
CUCAUUUAAGGGUUGGCAGUGGAAGUGAGGGCAUCUUUUGCUGCAGAUCCCUGUGCAUCUGAGGCCUUCUGAAGACAGCAGCACACAACAGUUCCUGUCCCUUUGCCAUAUAACACACCAGGAAGAAGCUGCUUCUGUUCCAUGUCAGUGUUAAAUAACAGCAACAAAGCAGAGAUGAGCCCAAAAGCCAAACCAGUAACAUGAUCUAACAACAGGGGAGAGAAAAACUGGCUUAGGGAAAAUGAGAUUUCCUUCAUCGAAGAGCAACUUUUCUUAUGUGAGAAGUUCUCACGUGAUUAUUAUCACAAUAUCUUCAGAUCAACAUAAAACCAAGCUCCAAGUUGAUUAACACAAUU